This is a long non-coding RNA of Phascolarctos cinereus (koala), 722 nucleotides long. RefSeq lists it as uncharacterized. The record is from RefSeq and is a predicted model, not a curated record. Lineage: Eukaryota; Metazoa; Chordata; Mammalia; Diprotodontia; Phascolarctidae.
UCCUCCACUAUGCUGAGAGAUACUUUCUUCCUUAACCCUGUCUGACUUUGUCAACUGUUUCACAGAGGAUGAGACUCUGGGGGAGAUGAGAAGUCUGCCGGGAUUGGUUAGAAGAGAGCAGCCAGAGAGAUCUGUGUGGCAGCUAGCUGGUGGAUGAACCUGGAUUCAGGAAGGGCUGCAUUCAAAUUUAACCUUAGACAUUAACUAGCCGUGUGACACUGGGAGAAAGAAUUUGAAGAUAGCUAUGACCUCAUGAACUUCAGAAGACCAGAAGAAUAAGCCACCAAGAUGUCCUGGAGUGAAAUCGAUACCUGGUUUUAUGACCAGCCAAGCCCAAAGGUAGCUGAGAUGAGGACUCAUCCAUCUAUCAGCCAUAUUACACUUUGAAAUGCACUUGCUGGAGCAAAAGCUGUGUAGAGACUGCACUAAGUUUGAACACAAUCUCCUUCAAGAUCAAGGUGGUUGGGAAAGGGAGGGAGAGAGAUGGGUGUGCCCCUAGGUACUAGGGAGAAAUGUUUGUAGUAACUAUAAUGAUAAUGAUGAUCAAUAAUAAUUAUAUUAAUAAUAAUAAUAAUUUCUAGAAAACUUUAAGUUUUGCAAAGCCCUUUAAAUGUGUUAUCUCACUUGAACUUCACAAGGAUCUAGGUAGGUAGAUGCUAUUAUUAUAUGCAUUUGACAGAUGAGACAACUAAGACAAGUUAAGUGACUUGCCCAGGGUCACA